Non-coding RNA from Paramuricea clavata, 323 nucleotides. NCBI's taxonomy places the organism in Eukaryota, Metazoa, Cnidaria, Anthozoa, Malacalcyonacea, Plexauridae. The record is from the annotation of a GenBank genome assembly.
UGAUGAUGAUGAUGAUGAUGAUGAUGAUGAUGAUGAUGAUGAUGAUGAUGAUGAUGAUGAUGAUGAUGAUGAUGAUGAUGAUGAUGAUGUCAUGAUGAUGAUGAUGAUGAUGAUGAUGAUGAUGAUGAUGAUGAUGAUGAUGGUGAUGAUGGUGAUGAUGAUGAUGAUGAUGAUGAUGAUGAUGAUGGUGAUGAUGAUGUCAUGAUGAUGAUGAUGAUGAUGAUGAUGAUGAUGAUGAUGAUGAUGAUGAUGAUGAUGAUGAUGAUGAUGAUGAUGAUGAUGAUGGUGACGAUGAUGGCGAAAACAGCACGGAUAUCUUCGCU